GGGCAUAUGGUGUAGUUGGUUUAUCACGCCCGCUUAGCAUGCGGGAGGUGUCCGGUUCAAUUCCGGAUAUGUCCA
This is a non-coding RNA of Peniophora sp. CONT, 75 nucleotides long. The record is from Rfam. Lineage: Eukaryota; Fungi; Basidiomycota; Agaricomycetes; Russulales; Peniophoraceae.